RNAcentral lists this long non-coding RNA (266 nucleotides) under Elaeis guineensis (African oil palm). RNAcentral describes it as "long non-coding RNA (EGUI_LNC017392)". The record is from RNAcentral. Lineage: Eukaryota; Viridiplantae; Streptophyta; Magnoliopsida; Arecales; Arecaceae.
CUUUUCACUCUCUGUGCUGAUGCAUUGCUAAAGCUCUAGCAGCUACCUCAGAGCAGGCUUUAGACCCAUGAGCUGACUCAAGGGGCCAAACCGAUCUCUCAUCUCUUUUUUAUAGAUGAUUAUCCAUCGAUGGGCCAAGUGUCAAUCCAAAAUGCUUCCACUUUCAGAAGGAUCUUAAAGGAGUACCAUGGUGCUUCAGGACAGAAGGUAAAUCUAUUCCAGUUAGCUUUGUAUUUUAGUCCGAAGACCUAGGUUUAGUUAUGAUA